AUUCUUAACUGACAGAGGUGAAUCAGGAAAGUGGCUUCCCUAGGGUGAGGCUUAUCCAUUUGCACUCUGGAUGUGCUGACCCCUAUGAUUUCCUCAAAUAUAGGAAAAAUGACUGUACAAUUUGUGGUAGUGGGGGACUGGUCAUGUCGUUCUCUGA
RNAcentral lists this small nuclear RNA (157 nucleotides) under Notamacropus eugenii (tammar wallaby). RNAcentral's name for it is "U1 spliceosomal RNA (ENSMEUG00000017812.1)". It matches the Rfam family "U1 spliceosomal RNA". From Rfam's summary of the family: U1 is a small nuclear RNA (snRNA) component of the spliceosome (involved in pre-mRNA splicing). Lineage: Eukaryota; Metazoa; Chordata; Mammalia; Diprotodontia; Macropodidae. The record is from RNAcentral.